Molecule: long non-coding RNA, 436 nt
Organism: Catharus ustulatus (Swainson's thrush)
Lineage: Eukaryota; Metazoa; Chordata; Aves; Passeriformes; Turdidae
Exons: 4
Source: RefSeq, a predicted model, not a curated record
UCAGCUGAACUGAAAAAUCUAGUUUUCCCCAGCCCAUCCUGCCAGUGCGAUCCCCCUGCCCUCAGGAGAAGUGUCCUGCAGUGUUUGUGAAAUGAGUCACGGAGUGCCAAUGAGUCAUCCUGUUCAAACCGCCUGGUUUGCAGUGCAACCUACCGAUUGACAGGUGGAAUUUGGAGUGCGGCUCUUUAGGGGAAAGUACAAGCAGCAACCCAAGGAAACUUCCCAUGCAUGGAGCAGCGCUAUGGAUGCGCGGGGGGAUCACGACUACAAAAGCAUAGCACUCAAAGCCUGUGAUUUGCCUCCCAGGUAGGAACCAGGACAGUCUCAAAGCAGACGUUGCUCUGGAGAUAUGAAGAAGCCUAACAGAAGCUCUCAGAAGAAUGUGAGUGAGAUCUCAGGAUAACUAACAUGACAGCCAUGCAACAUCCCAUUUCUG